Molecule: long non-coding RNA, 517 nt
Filed under: Elaeis guineensis (African oil palm)
Lineage: Eukaryota; Viridiplantae; Streptophyta; Magnoliopsida; Arecales; Arecaceae
Description: long non-coding RNA (EGUI_LNC017015)
Source: RNAcentral
ACGCUCAAGUCAGUUCUCUACCUCAACAAGAAUGGAGUGCUCGAACGAAAAUUUUAGCAGAGUUUUGAGAUAGAAAAUAAAGCUUAUAUAAUAAUAUAUCUGGGGUCCUCUUUUAUAGGCGUAGGGGGCUGCAAGCUGAUAGCGACAUCUGUAACCGUCUGGUCGUGGGCUGCCCAGGGUCAGGCGGAGUUUGUUGUGAAGAGUAGUGGAGUAGACCCGUGGCUAUCACCGAAGCGUGCCACGUGGAGUCUGCCGCAGGGAGUGGAGCGGCAUCCAUUGUCGCGACUUGCCAGGGGUUGGAAGAAUCGCACGGUAUCCAUCGCAGGAAGUGGAGCAGUGCUGUGGCCGUUACUGCGGCCUGCCAGGGAGUAAUGGAGCCGCGUAGGAUCCGCUAUAGGGAGUAAUGGAGUCAUGUAGGAUCCGCCGUAGGGAGUGAAGCAGAAUCGCGGCCGUUACUACGGCCUGCCAAGGAGUCUAGACUCAUCGACUGAAGUUCGGUUGAAGUCUGUAGCUGGAG